This 22-nucleotide non-coding RNA is filed under the name Oryctolagus cuniculus (rabbit). Its record names the gene ocu-miR-450a-3p. RNAcentral also lists the same sequence under 2 other names. The record is from miRBase by way of RNAcentral. Lineage: Eukaryota; Metazoa; Chordata; Mammalia; Lagomorpha; Leporidae.
AUUGGGAACAUUUUGCAUGCAU